CACAUCCGGAUCUCAUGGGCCUCUCAUCAUAACCCCAUGAGUAAGGCGGGCCAGGGAGUUUACAGCAGGGAUAACUGAAGACCAGAGAGGUGCGGUGACUUGAGCAAGGCCACACAGCUGGUACAAGAACUCUAGAAUCCUAACUCCUAGGAAAAGGGAGUUUUCCACAUGGCCCGCUCCACAGUGGCGCUUGGCAGGUACAAUGUCUGAGCCACAGUCCACCUGCUGAAUGCACGAAUGUGGUCCCAGAGGUGCACAGACCGUGUCCCCACACCUACCCCCAGCGGACCAGCCCUCAUUGCUUCCUGAACAGUGAAGUCCCUUUCCACCUCUGAGACUGUGCUGGUGCCAGAUUUUUCCCCCUGGAAUGGAAUGCCUGUCUUCCUCCUUUCUGCUCAGCACAGGGCUCGGCUCAUAGACUGCACUAAAUAAAUAUUCAUUGAGUUUCUGAAA
Long non-coding RNA from Dama dama (fallow deer), 453 nucleotides. RefSeq lists it as uncharacterized. Lineage: Eukaryota; Metazoa; Chordata; Mammalia; Artiodactyla; Cervidae. The transcript is spliced from 2 exons. The record is from RefSeq and is a predicted model, not a curated record.